RNAcentral lists this ribosomal RNA (191 nucleotides) under Staphylococcus epidermidis. Its description in RNAcentral is "partial 16S ribosomal RNA". It matches the Rfam family "Bacterial small subunit ribosomal RNA", at positions 1350 to 1533 of the family's 1533-position model. Lineage: Bacteria; Bacillati; Bacillota; Bacilli; Caryophanales; Staphylococcaceae. The record is from RNAcentral.
CAGCAUGCUACGGUGAAUACGUUCCCGGGUCUUGUACACACCGCCCGUCACACCACGAGAGUUUGUAACACCCGAAGCCGGUGGAGUAACCAUUUGGAGCUAGCCGUCGAAGGUGGGACAAAUGAUUGGGGUGAAGUCGUAACAAGGUAGCCGUAUCGGAAGGUGCGGCUGGAUCACCUCCUGUCUAAGGA